GACGAACGCUGGCGGCGUGCUUAACACAUGCAAGUCGAACGGAAAGGCCCUGCUUUUGUGGGGUGCUCGAGUGGCGAACGGGUGAGUAACACGUGAGUAACCUGCCCUUGACUUUGGGAUAACUUCAGGAAACUGGGGCUAAUACCGUAUAGGAGCUCCUGCUGCAUGGUGGGGGUUGGAACGUUUCGGCGGUUGGGGAUGGACUCGCGGCUUAUCAGCUUGUUGGUGGGGUAGUGGCUUACCAAGGCUUUGACGGGUAGCCGGCCUGAGAGGGUGACCGGCCACAUUGGGACUGAGAUACGGCCCAGACUCCUACGGGAGGCAGCAGUGGGGAAUAUUGCACAAUGGGCGGAAGUCUGAUGCAGCAACGCCGCGUGCGGGAUGACGGCCUUCGGGUUGUAAACCGCUUUCGCCUGUGACGAAGCGUGAGUGACGGUAAUGGGUAAAGAAGCACCGGCUAACUACGUG
Molecule: ribosomal RNA, 468 nt
Filed under: uncultured bacterium
Lineage: Bacteria
Description: partial 16S ribosomal RNA
Rfam family: Bacterial small subunit ribosomal RNA
Source: RNAcentral